AUUGAAAGCUGGCGGCAGGCUUAACACAUGCAAGUCGAGCGGGGUGAUGGUGCUUGCACUAUCACUUAGCGGCGGACGGGUGAGUAAUGCUUAGGAAUCUGCCUAUUAGUGGGGGACAACAUCUCGAAAGGGAUGCUAAUACCGCAUACGUCCUACGGGAGAAGGCAGGGGAUCACUUGUGACCUUGCGCUAAUAGAUGAGCCUAAGUCGGAUUAGCUAGUUGGUGGGGUAAAGGCCUACCAAGGCGACGAUCUGUAGCGGGUCUGAGAGGAUGAUCCGGCACACUGGGACUGAGACACGGGCCAGACUCCUACGGGAGGCAGCAGUGGGGAAUAUUGGACAAUGGGGGGAACCCUGAUCCAGCCAUGCCGCGUGUGUGAAGAAGGCCUUAUGGUUGUAAAGCACUUUAAGCGAGGAGGAGGCUCUUUUGGUUAAUACCCAAGAUGAGUGGACGUUACUCGCAGAGUAAGCACCGGCUAACUCUGUGCCAGCCGCCGCCGUAA
This 503-nucleotide ribosomal RNA is filed under the name uncultured bacterium. Its description in RNAcentral is "partial 16S ribosomal RNA". It matches the Rfam family "Bacterial small subunit ribosomal RNA", at positions 30 to 523 of the family's 1533-position model. The record is from RNAcentral.